This 497-nucleotide ribosomal RNA is filed under the name uncultured bacterium. RNAcentral's name for it is "partial 16S ribosomal RNA". It matches the Rfam family "Bacterial small subunit ribosomal RNA", at positions 28 to 507 of the family's 1533-position model. The record is from RNAcentral.
GAUGAACGCUGGCGGCGUGCCUAAUACAUGCAAGUCGAGCGAACAGACGAGGAGCUUGCUCCUCUGACGUUAGCGGCGGACGGGUGAGUAACACGUGGAUAACCUACCUAUAAGACUGGGAUAACUUCGGGAAACCGGAGCUAAUACCGGAUAAUAUAUUGAACCGCAUGGUUCAAUAGUGAAAGACGGUUUUGCUGUCACUUAUAGAUGGAUCCGCGCCGCAUUAGCUAGUUGGUAAGGUAACGGCUUACCAAGGCAACGAUGCGUAGCCGACCUGAGAGGGUGAUCGGCCACACGGGAACUGGGACACGGUCCAGACUCCUACGGGAGGCAGCAGUAGGGAAUCGUCCGCAAUGGGCGAAAGCUUGACGGAGCAACGCCGCGUGAGUGAUGAAGGUCUUCGGAUCGUAAAACUCUGUUAUUAGGGAAGAACAAAUGUGUAAGUAACUAUGCACGUCUUGACGGUACCUAAUCAGAAAGCCACGGCUAACUACGUG